CAACCCCCUGUUCCACCAGGCUGCCAGCCGCAUGCCGGCCAAGGGCGGGGCUCCAGCCCCAUCCAGGGGCCCCCAAGAGCUGGUCCCCACCACCCACCCAGGCCAGCCCGCCGGACACCCGGCCUCCUCGGUGGCUCUGAAGAGGCCGCCCCCUGCUCCUCCGGUCACUGUGUCCAGCCCACCCUUCCCAGUUCCUGUCUACACCCGGCAGGCACCAAAGCAGGUCAUCAAGCCGACGUUCGCGCCCCCAGUGCCCCCAGUCAAACCCGGGGCUGGUGCGGCCAACCCUGGUCCAGCUGAGGGUGCUGUUGGCCCAAAGGUUGCCCUGAAGCCCCCCAUCCAGAGGAAGCAAGGAGCCGGAGCUCCCACAGCACCCUAGGGGGGCACCUGCGCCUGUGUGGAAAUUUGGAGAAGUUGCGGCAGAGAAGCCAUGCGUUCCAGCAUUCCACGGUCCAGCUAGCGCCGCUCAGCCCUAGACCCUGCCUUUGCAGGCUCAGCUGCUGUUCUAACCUCAGGAAUGCAUCUACCUGAGAGGCUCCUGCUGUCCAUGCCCUCAGCCAAUUCCUUCUCCCCGCCUUGGCCACAUGUAGCCCCAGCUGUCUGCAGGCACCAGGCUGGGAUGAGCUGUGUGCCUGUGGGUGCGUGUGUGUGUACGUGUCUCCAGGUGGCCGCUGGUCUCCCCCUGUGUUCAGGAGGCCACAUAUACAGCCCCUCCCAGCCACACCUGCCCCUGCUCUGGGGCCUGCUGAGCCGGCUGCCCUGGGCACCCGGUUCCAGGCAGCACAGACGUGGGGCAUCCCCAGAAAGACUCCAUCCCAGGACCAGGUUCCCCUGCGUGCUCUUCGAGAGGGUGUCAGUGAGCAGACUGCACCCCAAGCUCCCGACUCCAGGUCCC
This 895-nucleotide long non-coding RNA is filed under the name Pan troglodytes (chimpanzee). RNAcentral's name for it is "long non-coding RNA NONPTRT002425". Lineage: Eukaryota; Metazoa; Chordata; Mammalia; Primates; Hominidae. The record is from RNAcentral.